UGGGGAAUAUUGGACAAUGGGCGCAAGCCUGAUCCAGCCAUGCCGCGUGAGUGAUGAAGGCCUUAGGGUUGUAAAGCUCUUUUAGCAGGGAAGAUAAUGACGGUACCUGCAGAAAAAGCCCCGGCUAACUUCGUGCCAGCAGCCGCGGUAAUACGAAGGGGGCUAGCGUUGCUCGGAAUUACUGGGCGUAAAGCGCACGUAGGCGGACUCUUAAGUCGGUGGUGAAAUCCUGGAGCUCAACUCCAGAACUGCCUUCGAUACUGGGAGUCUUGAGUUCGGGAGAGGUGAGUGGAACUGCGAGUGUAGAGGUGAAAUUCGUAGAUAUUCGCAAGAACACCAGUGGCUAAGGCGGCUCACUGGCCCGAUACUGACGCUGAGGUGCGAAAGCGUGGGGAGCAAACA
Molecule: ribosomal RNA, 402 nt
Filed under: uncultured bacterium
Lineage: Bacteria
Description: bacterial SSU rRNA
Rfam family: Bacterial small subunit ribosomal RNA
Source: RNAcentral